RNAcentral lists this ribosomal RNA (233 nucleotides) under uncultured bacterium. Its description in RNAcentral is "partial 16S ribosomal RNA". It matches the Rfam family "Bacterial small subunit ribosomal RNA", at positions 100 to 334 of the family's 1533-position model. The record is from RNAcentral.
CGGGACGGGUGAGUAAUGCUUGGGAAUCUAGCUUAUGGAGGGGGAUAACUACGGAAAACUGUAGCUAAUACCGCGUAAUAUCGAAAGAUUAAAGUGUGGGACCUUCGGGCCACAUGCCAUAGGAUGAGCCCAAGUGGGAUUAGGUAGUUGGUGAGGUAAAGGCUCACCAAGCCGACGAUCUCUAGCUGGUCUGAGAGGAUGACCAGCCACACUGGGACUGAGACACGGCCCAG